AAAAUGAUAGUAAUAAUAAUAAUGAUAAUAAUAAUGGGAGAAGGACUUAGGGUCUUUCUGGCUAAGGUUGCUACUUUGAAGUCACUAUUUCUGCUUCUUUGGUGCAGAUAAAGAAGCAGUUGGCCUUGUCAGUGUUUCAGUGCUCCAUGUCAUGGAGCUUCUCUCCAUAUUGGGUUGUGGCCACAGUCAAAUAACACCUGCCUUGGGAAGGUAGUAUUGGCAAGUUGUACCAUAUAUAGUACUUUGUACAUAACAAAAUACAUUUUGCCUUCUGUCUUCCUGCCUGCAUUGAGCCCAAUUCUGCAUUUUUGAUUCUUAUAGAUUUUAGAUUGACCCUACUUUCAUGGAUGAAAUUAAUUAGUCUCUUUUCUUUCUUCCUUUUUUUCCCCUUUAGUUGCAAACUAUAGAAACCAUUUGGGCUGGUUUGAGCAUAAAAGGAAAUUACUGGGAGUUAUUAGGUGCUCGGUGAUUCAUUGGGAGGUCUGGCAAAAAAGAAGCUCAAGGCUAAGCUCAUAGGAACACAGCCCGGCAUCUCACACAGAAGUGGCUUGAUGAGGAUUCUACUGCCUCCACAGCUCCUGCCAUCAUCUUCAUCUGCACCAUAGAUGCUCAGAACCCAGUCUGUGUCUGCAUGUUGCUGACUUCCAAAUGAGAGCUUCAUGAGAGUGUAUUUGGUUGGUAGAACAUAGGUCCCAGACCUUCUCCCUGGGAGCUGGAAGAGAUGCUGGGAAAUUCUGCCCUGGAAAAAUAAAACUCACAAUGUGGGAAACAAAGAAAAUGUACAGCAGGGGUUUAACAGAAUGACAGCUACAGUUUAGACUCCUGUGGUACAGUUGGCUUUCCCAGGCUCCCGGCGUCCAUGCUGUCUCGGCGCUAUCUCGCAGCCUGACGCCACGCGCCAUCUGCUGGCCUUGAGCUGCAUAGCUCUAGAGUAACUUCAGAGGCCACGGGGGAACAAAGAGCACUCGCCUACUUGACUGAGCUCCGACAGGCCGUCCCUCUGCUUCAGGUGUAGGCGUGAACAAGUCCAGACCACUACCUUAACAGGUAUGAGGAAAAUGAAGACUCUCCUAUUUUGGCACGUAUCUCAAAAUUGUCAUCAUUCACUUAAAGUGCAUAACCACAGAGACCUUCCUACUUAUUUUCUCUGGUGUUUUGAAGUUUUGUCAUGGGAAGAAAAUAGCGCUUCUAGAAACAUGAACUAGACUAAUUACUAAUGGAUUCUUUCUCUUACAUUUUGUACAGUGGAAUAAGGGCUAUUAAUUCAUUAAGCAGUUGGCUUGGAACCUUCUCUGACGACUCUUUGCAAAGAGAGAGAGGUCUAGAAGACUUGUGGGAAGGGAGGAAGUGGUGGUACCUGAUAUUUUCCAAUUUUCCGCAGGUCACUGAUGGGAACUUUGACCAGCAUCCUUGUUCCUCCCUCAACUUAUGGUCACCCUAAAAAAGCUAAGGCAUAGAUUUCAAAUUCUGGAGCCAGUUUUUGUAUUUAGGUCUCCAAGUACAGAGAGAAACUGGCAGACAGGGGUGGAGAAGUAUUGAGAACGAAUUCGGACACCCUGAAAGCGGAGUUCUAGAUCCAGUGUUGCCAGCAACGAGCCAAGAGACCUUUCUUCACAAGUUGAUUUACCUUUCCAUGUUUCAGUUUUCUCAUAAUUCCUGCCCUUAUUCCCUUCUCACCACCCCUGAUCCCCUCCCCUUUCCUGAUUGGGUAACAGGACAGGAAGCAGCAGAGCAUUCUAUGAAGCUUCCUCCUCAACGUCCUAGAGUAGCGGGUCUCAGUCUUCACUACACAGUCAAGUCCCAUGGUGCAUUUUUCAAACUUGCAUACCUGGCCCUUCCUGUGCUGAAUUCUGGUCUGCCCAUAAUUUGCUCCCUCCUUUCUCACUGUUUUCCUUUCUCCCUUCCUUGUUUUCUUUCCUAUCCCUUGCUGUCUCUGUUAGAACUUCUUUUUCCUGGUAUCUAGCCAAUCUCUUAACCCUGUUUUACUUUACUGUCCUAAGAUGCUGUCUUCUCAUGCCUACAUGUACUUUCUUUAAAAAAAAAACUGUUUAAAAAACAUUGUGUGGGAGGAGCCAAGAUGGCCAAAUAGGAACAGCUCCAGCCUACAGCUCCCAGCGUGAGCGAUGCAGAAGAUGGGUGAUUUCUGCAUUUCCAUCUGAGGUACCAGGUUCAUCUCACUAGGGAGUGCCAGACAGUGGGCACAGGUCAGUGGGUGCACGCACCAUGCGCGAGCCGAAGCAGGGCGAGGCUUUGCCUCUCUCAGGAAGCCCAAGGGGUCAGGGAGUUCCCUUUCCUAGUCAAAGAAAGUGGUGACAGACGGCACCUGGAAAAUCGGGUCACUCCCGAAUACUGCGCUUUUCCAACGGGCUUAAAAACUGGCGCACCGGGCCGGGCGCGGUGGCUCACGCCUGUAAUCCCAGCACUUUGGGAGGCCGAGGCGGGCGGAUCACGAGGUCAGGAGAUCGAGACCAUCCCG
This 2476-nucleotide long non-coding RNA is filed under the name Homo sapiens (human). RNAcentral describes it as "HSALNT0190625". The record is from RNAcentral. Lineage: Eukaryota; Metazoa; Chordata; Mammalia; Primates; Hominidae.